CAGUCGCCGCGGUAAUGCGAAGGGUGCAAGCGUUAAUCGGAAUUACUGGGCGUAAAGCGUGCGUAGGCGGUUUGUUAAGUCUGUUGUGAAAUCCCCGGGCUCAACCUGGGAAUGGCAAUGGAUACUGGCAAGCUAGAGUGUGUCAGGGGAUGGUGGAAUUCCCGGUGUAGCGGUGAAAUGCGUAGAGAUCGGGAGGAACAUCAGUGGCGAAGGCGGCCAUCUGGGACAACACUGACGCUGAGGCACGAAAGCGUGGGGAGCAAACAGGAUUAGAUACCCGCGUAGUCCCUGUCUCUUAUAA
RNAcentral lists this ribosomal RNA (301 nucleotides) under uncultured bacterium. RNAcentral's name for it is "partial 16S ribosomal RNA". It matches the Rfam family "Bacterial small subunit ribosomal RNA", at positions 509 to 809 of the family's 1533-position model. The record is from RNAcentral.